RNAcentral lists this long non-coding RNA (647 nucleotides) under Urocitellus parryii (Arctic ground squirrel). RNAcentral describes it as "lncRNA (ENSUPAG00010007860.1)". Lineage: Eukaryota; Metazoa; Chordata; Mammalia; Rodentia; Sciuridae. The record is from RNAcentral.
GUCAACUCUUUGCGCUGAUAGGUUUAAAUUGCUGCCCUGCAGAGGGCCUGCUUUAGCCUGGCCGGUGGUUGACUGGAGUCUGAGGCCAUGAGCACUGUCGCUGUGACUCGGGCGGCCGCGGGACCAGCCUCUAGGCCAGCUUCCUGCCUCACUCCGCCGAGAAUUGGACCGACAGAUCCCCUUCGCCCCCGGCGACCUGGUAGGGCCGUAAGCCCCAGCCCCAAAUGUGGAAGCAAGGCAAGACACACAAGAGCCUGGGGUGUGAAGGGAUGGACCUGCUGAUUAGGACGCUGCUCUUGCUGCCAAGGAACCAAAAUGACAGCAGAUCUCAUACGCGCGKUAAUCUUCCCUCAAAACUCUUGGAGGCCUUGGGAUGGGAUUUAGGACCCACUAAGCAGGCCUGCUUUUCCCACCGUCUUUCUCUGUCCUCUCCAGUACAGACUCCAGCCACAGCCGAGUCUCUGUUCUUGAACUAGGCAGACUUCUUCAUUCUGUCCCUCUGCUGGAGUAACUGCCCAUCUCUCAGGCUGCCUGGCUAUCAGAGUUCCUUGACAGCUGGUCCCCUUCAAGCACACUAACGUCUGUCCAGUGUUUACCUCUUUUAUAGCACUGUGGGCUGUGCAAAUUAAAUGAGUUUGUUAUCAGCA